This 348-nucleotide unclassified non-coding RNA is filed under the name soil metagenome. RNAcentral describes it as "partial contains 5.8S ribosomal RNA, internal transcribed spacer 2, and large subunit ribosomal RNA". The stretch from base 1 to 120 matches the Rfam family "5.8S ribosomal RNA", at positions 35 to 154 of the family's 154-position model. The record is from RNAcentral.
GAUGAAGAACGCAGCAAAAUGCGAUAAGUAAUGUGAAUUGCAGAAUUCAGUGAAUCAUCGAAUCUUUGAACGCACAUUGCGCCCGCUGGUAUUCCGGCGGGCAUGCCUGUUCGAGCGUCAUUUCAACCCUCAAGCCCCCGGGUUUGGUGUUGGGGAUCGGCUCUGCCCUUCUGGGCGGUGCCGCCCCCGAAAUACAUUGGCGGUCUCGCUGCAGCCUCCAUUGCGUAGUAGCUAACACCUCGCAACUGGAACGCGGCGCGGCCAUGCCGUAAAACCCCAACUUCUGAAUGUUGACCUCGGAUCAGGUAGGAAUACCCGCUGAACUUAAGCAUAUCAAAAAGCGGAGGA